CAAGAUGUAGCUUAAACUAAAGCGUCUGGCUUACACCCAGAAGAUUUCAUAUCAAACUGACCAUCUUGA
This 69-nucleotide transfer RNA is filed under the name Panthera leo atrox (American cave lion). Its description in RNAcentral is "tRNA-Val". It matches the Rfam family "tRNA". From Rfam's summary of the family: Transfer RNA (tRNA) molecules are approximately 80 nucleotides in length. Their secondary structure includes four short double-helical elements and three loops (D, anti-codon, and T loops). The record is from RNAcentral. Lineage: Eukaryota; Metazoa; Chordata; Mammalia; Carnivora; Felidae.